This 73-nucleotide transfer RNA is filed under the name Bacteroidales bacterium. RNAcentral's name for it is "tRNA-Gly". It matches the Rfam family "tRNA". Rfam says of the family: Transfer RNA (tRNA) molecules are approximately 80 nucleotides in length. Their secondary structure includes four short double-helical elements and three loops (D, anti-codon, and T loops). The record is from RNAcentral. Lineage: Bacteria; Pseudomonadati; Bacteroidota; Bacteroidia; Bacteroidales.
GCGGAAAUAGCUCAGUUGGUAGAGCGCAACCUUGCCAAGGUUGAGGUCGCGGGUCCGAGCCCCGGUUUCCGCU